UACGUAGGGUGCAAGCGUUGUCCGGAAUUAUUGGGCGUAAAGAGCUCGUAGGCGGUUUGUCGCGUCUGCUGUGAAAACUGGAGGCUCAACCUCCAGCCUGCAGUGGGUACGGGCAGACUAGAGUGCGGUAGGGGAGAUUGGAAUUCCUGGUGUAGCGGUGGAAUGCGCAGAUAUCAGGAGGAACACCGAUGGCGAAGGCAGAUCUCUGGGCCGUAACUGACGCUGAGGAGCGAAAAGCAUGGGGGAGCGAACAGG
This 255-nucleotide ribosomal RNA is filed under the name uncultured bacterium. Its description in RNAcentral is "partial 16S ribosomal RNA". It matches the Rfam family "Bacterial small subunit ribosomal RNA", at positions 524 to 776 of the family's 1533-position model. The record is from RNAcentral.